RNAcentral lists this long non-coding RNA (110 nucleotides) under Dasypus novemcinctus (nine-banded armadillo). Its description in RNAcentral is "SOX2 overlapping transcript exon 4 (ENSDNOG00000041207.1)". It matches the Rfam family "SOX2 overlapping transcript exon 4". Rfam says of the family: SOX2 overlapping transcript (SOX2OT) is a long non-coding RNA, containing at least 5 exons. The SOX2 gene, an important regulator of neurogenesis, lies within one of the introns of SOX2OT. SOX2OT and SOX2DOT (an isoform of SOXOT transcribed from a distal highly conserved element) are expressed in zones of neurogenesis within the brain. Lineage: Eukaryota; Metazoa; Chordata; Mammalia; Cingulata; Dasypodidae. The record is from RNAcentral.
CGCGGGUGCAAGCCUGUAACCCCAAAUCGGAUAAAAUCUACAGCUGAUAACAAGCAAAAGAGAAGCCAGGCAACAACCAUAUUAAAGAAGAAAACAAACCAACUCUGAGG